RNAcentral lists this ribosomal RNA (443 nucleotides) under uncultured bacterium. RNAcentral describes it as "partial 16S ribosomal RNA". It matches the Rfam family "Bacterial small subunit ribosomal RNA", at positions 338 to 795 of the family's 1533-position model. The record is from RNAcentral.
CCUACGGGGGACAGCAGUGGGGAAUAUUGGACAAUGGGGGAAACCCUGAUCCAGCCACGCCGCGUGAGUGAAGAAGUCUUUCGGUAUGGAAAGCUCUAUCAGCAGGGAAGAAAGAAAUGACGGUACCUGACUGAGAAGCCCCGGCUAACUACGUGGCAGCAGGCGCGGUAAUACGUAGGGGGCAAGUGUUAUCCGGAUUUAGUGGGGGUAAAGGGAGCGUGGACGGCGAUGCAAGUCUGAAGUGAAAGGCGGGGGCCUAACCUCCGGACUGCUUUGGAAACUGUAUGGCUGGAGUGCAGGAGAGGUAAGUGGAAUGCCUAGUGUAGCGGUGAAAUGCGUAGAUAUUAGGCGGAACCCCAGUUGCGAAGGCGGCUUACCGGAGCGUAACUGACGUUGAGGCUCGAAAGCGUGGGGAGCAAACAGGAUUAGAUACCCGGGUAGUC